GCACCCGUUGUCCAACGGAUAGGACGCAGCCCUCCGAAGGCUGAGGUCGGGGUUCGAUUCCCUGCGGGUGCG
This 72-nucleotide transfer RNA is filed under the name Tumebacillus permanentifrigoris. RNAcentral's name for it is "tRNA-Arg". It matches the Rfam family "tRNA". Rfam says of the family: Transfer RNA (tRNA) molecules are approximately 80 nucleotides in length. Their secondary structure includes four short double-helical elements and three loops (D, anti-codon, and T loops). The record is from RNAcentral. Lineage: Bacteria; Bacillati; Bacillota; Bacilli; Caryophanales; Alicyclobacillaceae.